RNAcentral lists this small nuclear RNA (107 nucleotides) under Carlito syrichta (Philippine tarsier). Lineage: Eukaryota; Metazoa; Chordata; Mammalia; Primates; Tarsiidae. The record is from RNAcentral.
GUGUUUGUUUUGGCAGCCCAUGUACUAACUUUGGAACGAUACAGAGAAGAUUAGCAUGGCCCCUGUGUAAGGAUGACACGUAAAUUCGUGAAGCGUUCCAUAUUUUC